RNAcentral lists this ribosomal RNA (453 nucleotides) under Enterobacter hormaechei. RNAcentral's name for it is "bacterial SSU rRNA". It matches the Rfam family "Bacterial small subunit ribosomal RNA", at positions 19 to 469 of the family's 1533-position model. The record is from RNAcentral. Lineage: Bacteria; Pseudomonadati; Pseudomonadota; Gammaproteobacteria; Enterobacterales; Enterobacteriaceae.
CCAGCUCAGAUGAACGCUGGCGGCAGGCCUAACACAUGCAAGUCGAACGGUAACAGGAAGCAGCUUGCUGCUUCGCUGACGAGUGGCGGACGGGUGAGUAAUGUCUGGGAAACUGCCUGAUGGAGGGGGAUAACUACUGGAAACGGUAGCUAAUACCGCAUAACGUCGCAAGACCAAAGAGGGGGACCUUCGGGCCUCUUGCCAUCGGAUGUGCCCAGAUGGGAUUAGCUAGUAGGUGGGGUAACGGCUCACCUAGGCGACGAUCCCUAGCUGGUCUGAGAGGAUGACCAGCCACACUGGAACUGAGACACGGUCCAGACUCCUACGGGAGGCAGCAGUGGGGAAUAUUGCACAAUGGGCGCAAGCCUGAUGCAGCCAUGCCGCGUGUAUGAAGAAGGCCUUCGGGUUGUAAAGUACUUUCAGCGGGGAGGAAGGCGAUAAGGUUAAUAACCU